AUGAAAUCUGACAUCAGAACUGCUAUAACAGGCACUGAAGUUUCUGCUGAAAUCUGUGAAUGGCGAGCCGGUUUUGGCAAAUGUGUUGCAUACCUAUCAAAGGCUAUGAUUUGGAUGGAGGAACCAAUUCGCUGUGGUCCACUUGUCCAGCGUGUCCGAGUCUCACAAAACAUAGAGGCCGGGUCAUUUGAUUCACACGAAAGCCUUCAGCCUGUGUACAGCUAUUUUGUGUUUUGCAAUGCAAAAGCAGAGUCUGUUCCUUCAGUUUUUUCCAACUUCAGAAAAAAAAAGGGAUUGAACAGUAACAUGAUUAUCUGUUACUACAUAACCAUCUCAGUCAACAUUGAUCGUACAAGAGCUCUGCGACUCUAG
Molecule: ribosomal RNA, 372 nt
Filed under: Triticum aestivum (bread wheat)
Lineage: Eukaryota; Viridiplantae; Streptophyta; Magnoliopsida; Poales; Poaceae
Description: partial small subunit ribosomal RNA
Source: RNAcentral